AGAGAAUGAGCAUAAGCUGGUGUACUUUAAGCCUAAUGGGAAGUUUUAUAUGCAAGGGCCUUGAACUGAUUAGUAUAAUUCCCUCUUUAAUACAGCUGUCCCUCCAGAUUAAGGUAAACCAAAUGUUGCAAUCAGAGAUUAGUGUACCUUGCCAGUUAUUAACAUCCCCGGUGCUCAGCAAGCACGUCAGACGCUAAUGCUGUGUAUUUAUUUGCCACUUCCCCACUGUAACUUGAACUUCGGCACCUGUCAAAGCAUUCCAGUGAAGAGACGGGCAUUAUUGGAAAGCAAAAGUUUUAUACCUGUACACCUGUUUUGUUUUGUCACAGCUUAGAUUUUCUUCUGGCGUGCCAAGACUGCCAGGUGCUUUAAUCUGCUACUUUUCUGGUUUUGUAAAGAAAGACUUUGUGUGCUAAAUCGCAUUUGUUACUUGCAUAUGCCUGCGUUUAUGCCAUGGAAGAGCUGCUCACCUAAACUGGGAGCAUGCGUGUGUCUGUGCAUGUGCCUGUGUGUGUAUGUAUGUUUUCUUUUACAAAAGAGUAAAUGGAUGAGGUUUUCUUUCCCCCAGAAAACACAUACCUAUGUCUUCUGUGCGUCUCAGCUUCUGCAGAGUCUUAAGUCACAAGCUCCCACCGGGGCUUGCUUGGACUCCAGGGCAAUAAUAUGCAGUAAACACACUGGAGAAGAUUGGACCUUACCCGGCUUGUGUUUUGGAUAAUGUUAGUCCAGGCACAGUGCUCCCUGAGCCUUUUUACAUCAGUGUGGCAGAUGGGCCAGCAACUAAGAGAAAAUAAUGAAAAAUUUGAGGAAGAGCCCCCACACUUGUCAAAUAAAUGUGAUUUUUAUCAGCAUCACUUAUUAUUACUCAGAGAUUGAGAAUCAAAAGUGCUUUCUGUGAAAAAGGGAUAGUUUGCUAAAGAACCACUAGGGUCAUCUUGGGGUCUGAAUUUUUUUUCAUAUGUGAGUUUAAAGUAUGUAGCUAUAUGCUCUUACAGAGCAGUCACCUUACGCCAGAAGCCACAGGGCAACCCCAGUCACUCCCUUGUCCCCCAAAACUUUGUCACAGACUGGAAAGAGCCACAGUUCUCUAGCCAACCUGUGACACUGGAAGCAGUUACUGGUUCAGGGUGUUAUCAGCACUGGGGGAACAUUUCUCUUGCUUGCCCUCCUCUCUCCCAACUCCAUCUUGGUGUUUGCACAUUGAUUGCCAGGUGCAGAGUUUCUACAUAUUAUAGCUUAAUUGCAGAUUUUUAAAAAAGACAAAAAUAUGUUCAUA
Long non-coding RNA from Bubalus bubalis (water buffalo), 1276 nucleotides. RefSeq lists it as uncharacterized. Lineage: Eukaryota; Metazoa; Chordata; Mammalia; Artiodactyla; Bovidae. The record is from RefSeq and is a predicted model, not a curated record. The transcript has 2 exons.